This 301-nucleotide ribosomal RNA is filed under the name uncultured bacterium. Its description in RNAcentral is "partial 16S ribosomal RNA". It matches the Rfam family "Bacterial small subunit ribosomal RNA", at positions 509 to 809 of the family's 1533-position model. The record is from RNAcentral.
CAGUCGCCACGGUAAUACGUAGGUGGCAAGCGUUGUCCGGAAUUAUUGGGCGUAAAGGGCUCGCAGGCGGUUUCUUAAGUCUGAUGUGAAAGCCCCCGGCUCAACCGGGGAGGGUCAUUGGAAACUGGGAAACUUGAGUGCAGAAGAGGAGAGUGGAAUUCCACGUGUAGCGGUGAAAUGCGUAGAGAUGUGGAGGAACACCAGUGGCGAAGGCGACUCUCUGGUCUGUAACUGACGCUGAGGAGCGAAAGCGUGGGGAGCGAACGGGAUUAGAUACCCGUGUAGUCCCUGUCUCUUAUAA